RNAcentral lists this ribosomal RNA (320 nucleotides) under uncultured eukaryote. Its description in RNAcentral is "partial 18S ribosomal RNA". It matches the Rfam family "Eukaryotic small subunit ribosomal RNA", at positions 1470 to 1796 of the family's 1831-position model. The record is from RNAcentral.
CCCCUAGAUGUUCUGGGCCGCACGCGCGCUACACUGAACAGUUCAACAAGUCUUAACCUUGGCCGAUAGGUCUGGGUAAUCUUUGAACGCUGUUCGUGAUUGGGAUAGACCUUUGCAAUUAUGGGUCUUCAACGAGGAAUUCCUAGUAAACGCAAGUCAUCAGCUUGCAUUGAUUACGUCCCUGCCCUUUGUACACACCGCCCGUCGCACCUACCGAUUGAAUAAUCCGGUGAAAUCUCGGGACGGCGGCUUGGUCGCUUGCGUCCGACUGCUGAAACUUGAUUAAACCAUAUCAUUUAGAGGAAGGUGAAGUCGUAACA